AUUGACCGCUGGCGGCAGGCCUAACACAUUCAAGUCGAGCGAGCGGCGGACGGGUGAGUAAUGUAUGGGGACUGCCCGAUAGCGGGGGAUAACUACUGGACACGAUGGCUAAUACCCCAUACUAUCGGAUAACCCAUAUGUGAUUAGCUAGUAGGUGGGGUAAAGGCUCACCUAUGCGACGAUCUCUAGCUGGUCUGAGAGGAUGAUCAGCGACACUGGGACGGAGACACGGCAAAGAGUCCUACGGAGGCAGCAGGGGGGAAUAUUGCACAAUGGGUGAAAGCCUGAUGCAGCCAUGCAGCGUGGAGGAAGAAGGCCUUAGGGUUGUAAAGUACUGUCAGAGGGGAGGCGUUACCCGCAGAAGAAGCACCGGCUAACUCCGUGCCAGCAGCCGCGGUAAUUC
Molecule: ribosomal RNA, 403 nt
Filed under: uncultured bacterium
Lineage: Bacteria
Description: partial 16S ribosomal RNA
Rfam family: Bacterial small subunit ribosomal RNA
Source: RNAcentral